This 439-nucleotide ribosomal RNA is filed under the name uncultured bacterium. Its description in RNAcentral is "partial 16S ribosomal RNA". It matches the Rfam family "Bacterial small subunit ribosomal RNA", at positions 339 to 795 of the family's 1533-position model. The record is from RNAcentral.
CUACGGGGUGCAGCCGUGGGGAAUAUUGCACAAUGGAGGAAACUCUGAUGCAGCAACGCCGCGUGGAGGAUGACACUUUUCGGAGCGUAAACUCCUUUUAUAUAGGAAGAAGAUGACGGUACUAUAUGAAUAAGCGCCGGCUAACUCCGUGCCAGCAGCCGCGGUAAUACGGAGGGCGCAAGCGUUACUCGGAAUCACGGGGCGUAAAGAGCGUGUAGGCGGAUUAAAAAGUCAGAAGUGAAAUCCUAUAGCUUAACUAUAGAACUGCUUCUGAAACUCUUAAUCUAGAAUAUGGGAGAGGUAGAUGGAAUUUCUGGUGUAGGGGUAAAAUCCGUAGAGAUCAGAAGGAAUACCGAUUGCGAAGGCGAUCUACUAGAACAUUAUUGACGCUGAGACGCGAAAGCGUGGGGAGCAAACAGGAUUAGAUACCCUGGUAGUC